RNAcentral lists this ribosomal RNA (253 nucleotides) under uncultured bacterium. RNAcentral describes it as "partial 16S ribosomal RNA". It matches the Rfam family "Bacterial small subunit ribosomal RNA", at positions 524 to 776 of the family's 1533-position model. The record is from RNAcentral.
UACGGGGGGGGCAAGCGUUGUUCGGAAUUACUGGGCGUAAAGGGCGCGUAGGCGGCGCUCCAAGUUAGGCGUGAAAGCCCCGGGCUCAACCUGGGAAUAGCGCUUAAGACUGGGGUGCUCGAGUGCGGGAGAGGUGAGUGGAAUUCCCAGUGUAGAGGUGAAAUUCGUAGAUAUUGGGAAGAACACCAGUGGCGAAGGCGGCUCACUGGCCCGCAACUGACGCUGAGGCGCGAAAGCGUGGGGAGCAAACAGG